AGCUGGCGGCAGGCCUAACACAUGCAAGUCGAGCGAACCUAUCUUGCUAGGUGAGCGGCGAACGGGUGAGUAACGCGUAGGAAUCUACCUAGUAGUGGGGGACAACGUCUCGAAAGGGACGCUAAUACCGCAUACGCCCUACGGGGGAAAGGGGGGGAUCUUCGGACCUCUCGCUAUUAGAUGAGCCUGCGUCGGAUUAGCUAGUUGGUGAGGUAAAGGCUCACCAAGGCGACGAUCCGUAGCUGGUCUGAGAGGAUGAUCAGCCACACCGGAACUGAGACACGGUCCGGACUCCUACGGGAGGCAGCAGUGGGGAAUAUUGGACAAUGGGGGCAACCCUGAUCCAGCCAUGCCGCGUGUGUGAAGAAGGCCUUCGGGUUGUAAAGCACUUUAGGGGGGGAGGAAGGUCUCAAAGCGAAUACCUUUGAGAAUUGACGUUACCCCCAGAAUAAGCACCGGCUAACUCCGUGCCAGCAGCCGCGGUAAUACGGAGGGUGCAAGCGUUAAUCGGAAUUACUGGGCGUAAAGCGCGCGUAGGCGGCUUGGUAAGUCGAUUGUGAAAUCCCCGGGCUCAACCUGGGAAUUGCAGUCGAGACUGCUUGGCUAGAGUGUGGGAGAGGGUGGUGGAAUUCCCGGUGUAGCGGGUGAAAUGCGUA
Molecule: ribosomal RNA, 656 nt
Filed under: uncultured earthworm cast bacterium
Lineage: Bacteria
Description: bacterial SSU rRNA
Rfam family: Bacterial small subunit ribosomal RNA
Source: RNAcentral